AGCUCGAAAAACUUUCUAGUUUAAAUACAGCUUUGAGCAGUAAAUGGGGCAUGAGCUGGUAUGGUCGAGCGGCUAGAGGUUUUUACUUCUAACCUAGAGAUCAGUGGAUCGAAUCUCGAGGCGGUAAGCAGCUGUUUUUGGCUUCGAAAGUAAGUAAACACGAAAAUAUACCUGUAAUUAUGUAAACAUUGAAGUCAAUGAGAAAAUUCUAGGUAGACCGGCAAUCCAGCAAUCUGUCAUCUGGUUGUCAGAGCAAUCUGUCAAUCGGAUUUUUUUUCGGCGCGUAGAAGUUCCUUGAUAUUCUCUUAGAGGCUGAAUAGCGUUCUCUACAGCCACCUGAACGAACUUCAAAGUAGCUUUAAGAACUUAAAUUUUGGGCUGAUUAGCAUUCUCUAGGACCACCUGCAGAAGCUGAUUAAGCUUCUAUGGUACCUCUUUAUGGAACUUUUGGUUGCUUGGGCAGUUCACCAGUAGUGAAUUUCAACAGUUUUGUGACGACAACGGAAUCCAACACAUUACCACCGCUCCGUUCCACCCUCAAUCGAAUGGGCAAGCAGAGAGGUUCGUGGACACGUUCAAGAGAGCUGUGAAGAAAAUUAGCGGCGGAAGGGGAUCCAUCGAAGAAGCUUUAGACAUUUUCCUUUUAACUUACCGUUGUACACCAAAUCCACAGGUAACAAACGGCACCUCUCCGUCUGAAGCUAUGUUUGGUCGUCGCAUCAGGAUGAAUCUUGACUUACUACGCCCACCUACGAGGCCACCAGAAACAAAAAUUGAUCAGUGUUCUUUAAAACGAAAAUUCGACAUCCACGAUUUGGUCUACGCUAAGGUGUUCAGCAACAACAAAUAUCGUUGGGCGCCAGGCAUCGUAUGCAGCAAGGUUGGGCGAGUCAUGUACACAGUGUUCAUCGAAGAAAGCCGGAUGAUUCGGUCACACGCAAAUCAGCUUCGAAGCCGUACCGAACCAGAUACGAGUGGUGAACCAAAAAGAGCUCAGCAGAAUUUGCCUCUCGACGUUCUACUGGACUCUUGGAAACUACCUGCCAAAGUGUCACCAGAACCAAAUACGUCUACACAACCAACCGAAGCCAGUUUCCAUUUUACACCGAAUCAAUCAAGUUCACUACUCCAAUCAACGAUAGUAGGUGGCUCAGCUCUGUACCCUGAGUCGUCUGUCAUGGAUACAAGUUCAUCAAUGUCGUCGUCAACCACAUCUUCAUCAGCACCGAGUCAAGAAUCCGCUUCCAUGAAUGGCGAGCAAGUUACAUCGGUGCCUACAGAACCACGUCGCUCUUCGAGAGUCCGAAGGCAGCCGCAGUGGUAUCACCCUUACCAUCUCUAUUAAAGCCGGGGGAUGUUGUGGGCGUCUUGCUCUACAAAACCCCUCGAUCAUCUACGCCUCUGAGCUCCGGUGUGACAGCUCGGUCUGUCUCCCUUGCGACGCCACAAGAAGCCAACCACAAAGAAGAAGAAUACAAGAGAAGUGUCUUAUACAAUGAGUUGAAUAAAUCAAGAUCUUCAUCAACCGGAACCUGCAGGGCUCGAGGUCAUAUCAUUGUAAAGAAGGUCACUUUUGUUAGCGUGUCGCCUGCGCUUCCAAAGCAGAAAUCCUCUUAUUUCAACCAAAAUACCCAGAAUCGGCAGAAAACGGCUCCGGUAAUGUGCUGGGACACUGUCUGACGUUGGUAUAAGAAUCUUAUAAUGUGCACAGUGCCGAUACGCCAGCAACGGAGGAAACAUGCAAGUUGAAGACGGUCCCGAGCUAAAAAAAUCCGUUGGGAAGGAUUCUUAAACAUGGCCUAUGAUAGAAGAAUACUAAUCUCUAGAAGAUACGGAACUGCAGGUUACAAUUAAAAACGAGAUGAAAUUCGCGAUGGUGACCUUUUGAAAUGACAGCUCUUUCAGUAAGGCACUCCAUUUAAAUCCAGGAGUCACUUUUGUUUCCAACUAGGCGACGAAGAUGAUAGAUGCGUUUAUUGAAGGCCGAGAAUCCUGAAUACAAUUUAACCCUCUUCAGCAUUACGCCUUACAAAUGCUGCUCGUACGUGACUAUUUGGCGAUUUGAAUGUUUUUUUUUGUGUAAAAAUAAUGAACACAUUAUACAUAUGUAU
Molecule: long non-coding RNA, 2111 nt
Organism: Uranotaenia lowii
Lineage: Eukaryota; Metazoa; Arthropoda; Insecta; Diptera; Culicidae
Exons: 5
Source: RefSeq, a predicted model, not a curated record